UAGGGAAUCUUCGGCAAUGGGGGCAACCCUGACCGAGCAACGCCGCGUGAGUGAAGAAGGUUUUCGGAUCGUAAAGCUCUGUUGUAAGUCAAGAACGGGUGUGAGAGUGGAAAGUUCACACUGUGACGGUAGCUUACCAGAAAGGGACGGCUAACUACGUGCCAGCAGCCGCGGUAAUACGUAGGUCCCGAGCGUUGUCCGGAUUUAUUGGGCGUAAAGCGAGCGCAGGCGGUUUGAUAAGUCUGAAGUUAAAGGCUGUGGCUCAACCAUAGUUCGCUUUGGAAACUGUCAAACUUGAGUGCAGAAGGGGAGAGUGGAAUUCCAUGUGUAGCGGUGAAAUGCGUAGAUAUAUGGAGGAACACCGGUGGCGAAAGCGGCUCUCUGGUCUGUAACUGACGCUGAGGCUCGAAAGCGUGGGGAGCGAACAGGAUUAGAUACCCUGGUAGUCCACGCCGUAAACGAUGAGUGCUAGGUGUUGGAUCCUUUCCGGGAUUCAGUGCCGCAGCUAACGCAUUAAGCACUCCGCCUGGGGGAGUACGACCGCAAGGUUGAAA
RNAcentral lists this ribosomal RNA (554 nucleotides) under uncultured bacterium. Its description in RNAcentral is "partial 16S ribosomal RNA". It matches the Rfam family "Bacterial small subunit ribosomal RNA", at positions 355 to 899 of the family's 1533-position model. The record is from RNAcentral.